RNAcentral lists this ribosomal RNA (253 nucleotides) under uncultured bacterium. RNAcentral's name for it is "partial 16S ribosomal RNA". It matches the Rfam family "Bacterial small subunit ribosomal RNA", at positions 524 to 776 of the family's 1533-position model. The record is from RNAcentral.
UACGUAGGGGGCAAGCGUUGUCCGGAUUCAUUGGGCGUAAAGAGCGUGUAGGCGGCCAGGUAGGUCGGUUGUGAAAACUGGAGGCUCAACCUUCAGAGGUCGACCGAAACCAUCUGGCUAGAGUCCGGGAGAGGAGAGUGGAAUUCCUGGUGUAGCGGUGAAAUGCGUUGAUAUCAGGAGGAACACCCAUGGCGAAGGCAGCAAACUGGUCGGCAUCUGACGCUGAGGCGCGAAAGCGUGGGUAGCAAACAGG